Hippocampus zosterae (dwarf seahorse) is the source of this 1204-nucleotide long non-coding RNA. RefSeq lists it as uncharacterized. Lineage: Eukaryota; Metazoa; Chordata; Actinopteri; Syngnathiformes; Syngnathidae. The record is from RefSeq and is a predicted model, not a curated record. The transcript is spliced from 2 exons.
GCGCGCACACACACUCACACACUCCUACACACACGCACGUACACACAGACAGGCACACUGAUUCACUGUCAUGAUUUUCCCAUGUUUGCAGAACAAAGUUCCACUCGUGCACGCGCGCGCCAAAGCACGUGAGAUGACGUGUUAGUUGGCAGGGGUGCCCAUCGAUCAAUACAAUAAAUUAUAUCCUGUAUAAAACGAUCGAUAGUACCAAAAAUGGAUUACUCCAGUGAUGGAUUGCAAUCAGUGAAAUAAUAAUUCUAAUAAUAAUAAUAAUAAAGAAAAUAAUGAUAAUAAAUGAAAAUAUCCAAUUCAAAUACAUCGAAUGCAUUAAAAGUAAAAAUAUAAAUACAUUUAACAAAAAAUUAAUAAUAAAGAAUAUCUUAAAUGAAUUCACAUAUACACUGCUCAAGGUCACUCCCCGCCACCCACCCAAAAAGAAAAAAAAAGAAAAAAUAAAGAAAACGCUGAUGGAUCAUAAUCAAUCACAUAUAAUAUCUCCGUCUAAUUCAGACGAGGUCAAAAAAGCGCUGGUAUAUGUGUGUGUGUCUGAGUGUGGGUUUGGGGCGGGGGUACGCUUUAAUGUUAUCUGUGCGCAGAUAGCGGACCGGUGACCCCGGGGGUGCGCAAAGUUCCCGGCCUGAUUAACCCCGGCAGAGCCGCGCGGGAGCAAAGGUUAACCGGCCUAAUCAACUUCAAGAGGGCGACUCAGUCAGAUCAUCAACUGCAUGGGACACUUCCACACAUAGUGAAAAAGACACACGCAGGUGUGAUUGUGAAGGGCGAACGGUUCUUUGUCUAACGUGACCGGUCCGGAGUGUACCCCACCUCUCGCCCCCAAAGGCAGCUGGGAUAGACUCCAACAAGCCCGCCACCCUCGUGAGGAGAAGCGCGAUGGAUGAAGUCAACGAGUCCAAUCAGUACUUCCACCAGCUUUUCAUGAUUUGAAAUCAUUUAUUUGUAUCUGUAUUUGUACAUACGACAAGGACAGCACGUGAGUAUUUUUGCCCCCACUGCUGUCAAGCCAGAUCCCCCCCCCCCCCCCCAGAAAAGAGCUGCGGCGGCUGGAGUAGCCUCGGGUCGAACUGCGCAUACAAAUUUUUCUUCUACUUCUUCUGAGGUGCCUGUUGUCCGGCAGACGGCGUAUCGAAUGACACAAAAUCGUGCAAUCGAGUGUUGGAUUGUGUUUCCAAACCGGCAAGGUUGG